This is a long non-coding RNA of Prunus dulcis (almond), 600 nucleotides long. RefSeq lists it as uncharacterized. The record is from RefSeq and is a predicted model, not a curated record. The transcript has 2 exons. NCBI's taxonomy places the organism in Eukaryota, Viridiplantae, Streptophyta, Magnoliopsida, Rosales, Rosaceae.
UUUAAGUUACUCUGCUGCCUCUUUUUACCAAAAGGGCUAAAAGGCAUCUUCUUGGUUUUUAAACAGUAUGGAAGAAUCUGUUAAGCUCAGGAGGGAUAGCGCCAUUCUUGGUUUGGUUUUAGACCAUGUAUUGCGCUAUCCAUCCUGAGUUUCAUGGCUUCUUCUUGCUCUCUCUCUCUCUCUCUCUCUCUCUCUCUUCUUUGCAGCCAAGCCAAGGGAUUGAAACUUGUGGCCUUGUUGUUGCAAUAUCGGGAAUGAAUGAGAGGAUUGAGAUGAGGGCCAACCAUGAGUAGAAUUAGUUGCCAAGGCUCUUUGGUCAAGCAGAUUUUUACCCUGUGAAACACUUACAUGAAACGAAGAUAUCAUUAUUUUGAUAUUCCUAGCCAAUCACAGUAUUGAUAAUUUCGAUUGAUAGAGGAUAGCAAAACAGUAUUAUCUCCAUUUUAUACAAGUUUUUUUUGACUAUUUUGAGAGCCUAUGAAGAAUCUUCACUUGUCCAAUCUACCUGUUCAAGUUUGACUUAAUGUACCACAAGGUGGAAGGAAAAGUACUUCUUUUUAUGCAUUAUACUGGAUAUGAAAUCAAUUUUAGUUAUGGACA